GGAGUGGACGAACCUCUGGUGUUCCGGUUGUCACGCCAGUGGCAUUGCCGGGUAGCUAUGUUCGGAAAAGAUAACCGCUGAAAGCAUCUAAGCGGGAAACUUGCCUCAAGAUGAGAUCUCACUGGGAACUUGAUUCCCCUGAAGGGCCGUCGAAGACUACGACGUUGAUAGGCUGGGUGUGUAAGCGUUGUGAGGCGUUGAGCUAACCAGUACUAAUUGCCCGUGAGGCUUGACCAUAUAACACCCAAACA
This 251-nucleotide ribosomal RNA is filed under the name Pseudomonas aeruginosa. Its description in RNAcentral is "partial 23S ribosomal RNA". It matches the Rfam family "Bacterial large subunit ribosomal RNA", at positions 2694 to 2925 of the family's 2925-position model. The record is from RNAcentral. Lineage: Bacteria; Pseudomonadati; Pseudomonadota; Gammaproteobacteria; Pseudomonadales; Pseudomonadaceae.